AACACCAGAAACUAGGAAGAGGCAAGACAAGGAAGGAUUCUCCCCUGGAGCCUUUAGAGGAAGUAUGGCACCACCAAUACCUUGAUCACAGACUCCUGGCCUCCAGAUAUGAGACCUCAUCUCUGCGGUGUGAGCUUCAGUGCACACUGGGUGCUUCUGGGGACCGAUUCCAUGAGUUCUCUCCUCAUUUCCCUCCCUGCUCAUUGGAGAAAACAGCAGACCUGCCCUUGGGUGACAUCACCGCUUUGCAGCGCGGGAGCUGCCUGUCAGACCUUCUGAAGGGAGCUACUGCCUCGUCUGAGCCCUGGAGUGCCACCGCCCCUGCACCAGCAAUGUUUAAUAACAUGAAGAAUACAAAGGCUGGCGAGAUGAGUCACUGGUGCGAGUGACCAGCCAAAUUGAAUCUCCUUUAAUGGAAAGGCCUUAAAAUAAAGAAAUACAAAUGCACUCUAAUUUCCAGUUUUAGUGGGAAAUGAAAUGUAUUUCCAGGGAGCAUGCCCACAUGUGCUUCUUUCUGGUGGAUGCCAUAAAACACCUCUGAACCUGAAUUAGGGUCCAAAUUCUUUCUUCACCCAGUGUUUGGCAAAUUUCAGCAUUUGCAUGCCAUCUUCCCUAAUUUCUUUGCCCUACCUGCGUGCCUCCUGUGUUAUUAUUUACUUUCUAGUUUUCUGUGAUUCACUUUUGUUACUCAAAUACCUUGGCUUAAAAGUGAAAAACAGGCCGGGCGCGGUGGCUCACGCUUGUAAUCCCAGCACCUUGGGAGGCCGAGGGGGGUGAAUCAUCU
This 784-nucleotide long non-coding RNA is filed under the name Homo sapiens (human). RNAcentral's name for it is "HSALNT0227836". Lineage: Eukaryota; Metazoa; Chordata; Mammalia; Primates; Hominidae. The record is from RNAcentral.